This 215-nucleotide ribosomal RNA is filed under the name uncultured bacterium. Its description in RNAcentral is "partial 16S ribosomal RNA". It matches the Rfam family "Bacterial small subunit ribosomal RNA", at positions 1286 to 1500 of the family's 1533-position model. The record is from RNAcentral.
UCUCAGUUCGGACUGUAGGCUGCAACUCGCCUACACGAAGUUGGAAUUGCUAGUAAUCGUGGAUCAGCAUGCCACGGUGAAUACGUUCCCGGGUCUUGUACACACCGCCCGUCACACCAUGGGAGCUGGUAACACCCGAAGUCAGUAGUCUAACCGCAAGGAGGACGCUGCCGAAGGUGGGAUUAGCGACUGGGGUGAAGUCGUAACAAGGUACC